AGUGAACGCUGGCGGCAGGCCUAACACAUGCAAGUCGAGCGGCAGCGGGUCCUUCGGGAUGCCGGCGAGCGGCGGACGGGUGAGGAAUGCAUCGGAAUCUGCCCUGUCGUGGGGGAUAACCUAGGGAAACUUAGGCUAAUACCGCAUACGACCCACGGGUGAAAGCGGGGGAUCGCAAGACCUCGCGCGAUAGGAUGAGCCGAUGUCCGAUUAGCUAGUUGGCGGGGUAAAGGCCCACCAAGGCGACGAUCGGUAGCUGGUCUGAGAGGAUGAUCAGUCACGCUGGGACUGAGACACGGCCCAGACUCCUACGGGAGGCAGCAGUGGGGAAUAUUGGACAAUGGGCGCAAGCCUGAUCCAGCCAUGCCGCGUGGGUGAAGAAGGCCUUCGGGUUGUAAAGCCCUUUUGUCCGGGAAGAAAUCGUCUGGGCUAAUACCCCGGGCGGAUGACGGUACCGGAAGAAUAAGCACCGGCUAACUUCGUG
This 484-nucleotide ribosomal RNA is filed under the name uncultured bacterium. Its description in RNAcentral is "partial 16S ribosomal RNA". It matches the Rfam family "Bacterial small subunit ribosomal RNA", at positions 30 to 507 of the family's 1533-position model. The record is from RNAcentral.